UGGGGGAUAUUGCGCAAUGGGGGAAACCCUGACGCAGCAACGCCGCGUGAAGGAUGAAGGUCUUUGGAUCGUAAACUUUUUUGAUAGGGGAAGAAUAAAUGACGGUACCCUAAAAACAAGCCACGGCUAACUACGUGCCAGCAGCCGCGGUAAUACGUAGGUGGCAAGCGUUGUCCGGAUUUACUGGGUGUAAAGGGCGUGUAGGCGGGACUGUAGGUCAGAUGUGAAAGCCCAAGGCUUAACCUUGGAACUGCAUUUGAAACCAUAGUUCUUGAGUGUCGGAGAGGGAAGCGGAAUUCCUAGUGUAGCGGUGAAAUGCGUAGAUAUUAGGAGGAACACCAGUGGCGAAGGCGGCUUUCUGGACGAUAACUGACGCUGAGGCGCGAAAGCGUGGGGAGCAAACA
The sequence is a ribosomal RNA, 404 nucleotides long. It matches the Rfam family "Bacterial small subunit ribosomal RNA", at positions 355 to 774 of the family's 1533-position model.